CAGCACCUACAUCCACUCCCCAAGACCUCUUGGAAAUUUCACUAUAAUCCUACAGAUUACAGCCGGUUGUUUUACAAGCUCACAACCCAACUUGUUGUUUUACGAGCGCACAACGAACUCGGUCGGUUUUCCCAGGCUCACCGACUAGAACCACUCCGAUUGUUUUCCCGGGAUCACAAUCGAACCCUUACACGUUGGUUUUACCCUCGGCUCACCAACAAACCUAACACCGUUGGUUUUCCCUUUGGCUUACCAACAACCCUUAACCCCUUGAUUCAAUCCCUUGAUUGAAUCAAAUUACGGGAUAUUAAAACAAAGUGUAAAACAAAUCAAAGCUUCUUAAAUAAGCAAAUAUAACAAUAUAAACAAAGAGAGUAAAGAGAAGCCCUCAAACGAGUUUUGAAGAUGAAGGAGCUCGGCUUCUUCUUUACUUGACCCUCUUCUGAUUUGGCACGAAGUAGAGGAUUUCCGAGGCAGCACACGGAUGAAGAGGAAGCUUUGGGAUUCACUUGGAUGCUCUUCUUCUCUCUAUUUCACUUUGGAUGGCCCUUUUGUGCUUAUAGGAGAUUUCCCUUGUAAUCUCUUUGAGAUCUCUUCUCUAAAUGUUCUUUCCCACUUCCAUAACUUCUCCCCUAGCUCUCUUCUUG
This 647-nucleotide long non-coding RNA is filed under the name Phoenix dactylifera (date palm). RNAcentral describes it as "long non-coding RNA (PDAC_LNC009681)". Lineage: Eukaryota; Viridiplantae; Streptophyta; Magnoliopsida; Arecales; Arecaceae. The record is from RNAcentral.